RNAcentral lists this non-coding RNA (30 nucleotides) under Homo sapiens (human). The record is from RNAcentral. Lineage: Eukaryota; Metazoa; Chordata; Mammalia; Primates; Hominidae.
UAACACAGUGUAUAUGGUGCAUCUUUAGGA